This 126-nucleotide ribosomal RNA is filed under the name Bison bison bison. Lineage: Eukaryota; Metazoa; Chordata; Mammalia; Artiodactyla; Bovidae. The record is from RNAcentral.
CAUAUCACCCUGAACAUGCCCAAUCUCGUCUGAUCUUGGAAGCUAAGCAAGGUCAGGCCCGGUUAGUACUUGGAUGGGGGAACAGUCUUGUUUAAAAUGAAAGACCACUAAAAAGAAAAUUUGGCU